UGCAGGUGGUCGCUGUGAGAUAUGGUUCAGCAACAGAAGCUUCUUUCCCCCAUUGCUGGGCAAUACAGAGCCAGCUGCACAGAAGCCUGCAGACAGAACUGGAGCACAACUGAAAAGUGCUGUGCAGGAGGAGACUUAGCGAAAGGGCAGACCAAAUCUAAGAGAUAUCUGGAUGCAGUACAGCAAAUCAUGAUGACUUCUUUGACCAGACCUUCCAACAGCACAGCCUAUUUGGAAGGGAGAGCGGGCCAGAAGACUUGUUGCGACUGCAUAUUUGGAUCCGAUAUUUGUGGGUCAGAAUUAC
Molecule: long non-coding RNA, 304 nt
Organism: Mobula hypostoma (lesser devil ray)
Lineage: Eukaryota; Metazoa; Chordata; Chondrichthyes; Myliobatiformes; Myliobatidae
Exons: 3
Source: RefSeq, a predicted model, not a curated record